CCUACGGGUGGCAGCAGUGAGGAAUAUUGGUCAAUGGACGAGAGUCUGAACCAGCCAAGUAGCGUGCAGGAUGACUGCCCUAUGGGUUGUAAACUGCUUUUAUGAAGGAAUAAAAUGAGGCACGUGUGCCUUUUUGCAUGUACUUUAUGAAUAAGGACCGGCUAACUCCGUGCCAGCAGCCGCGGUAAUACGGAGGGUCCGGGCGUUAUCCGGAUUUAUUGGGUUUAAAGGGAGCGUAGAUGGGUUGUUAAGUCAGUUGUGAAAGUUUGCGGCUCAACCGUGAAAUUGCAAUUGAUACUGGGAGUCUUGAGUGCAGCUGAGGUAGGCGGAAUUCGUGGUGUAGCGGUGAAAUGCUUAGAUAUCACGAAGAACCCCGAUUGCGAAGGCAGCUUACUAUACUGUGACUGACAUUGAUGCUCGAAAGUGUGGGUAUCAAACAGGAUUAGAUACCCCUGUAGUC
This 460-nucleotide ribosomal RNA is filed under the name uncultured bacterium. RNAcentral describes it as "partial 16S ribosomal RNA". It matches the Rfam family "Bacterial small subunit ribosomal RNA", at positions 338 to 795 of the family's 1533-position model. The record is from RNAcentral.